RNAcentral lists this ribosomal RNA (460 nucleotides) under uncultured bacterium. RNAcentral's name for it is "partial 16S ribosomal RNA". It matches the Rfam family "Bacterial small subunit ribosomal RNA", at positions 338 to 795 of the family's 1533-position model. The record is from RNAcentral.
CCUACGGGAGGCAGCAGUGAGGAAUAUUGGUCAAUGGACGAGAGUCUGAACCAGCCAAGUAGCGUGAAGGAUGACUGCCCUAUGGGUUGUAAACUUCUUUUAUAUGGGAAUAAAAUGUUCCACGUGUGGGAUUUUGUAUGUACCAUAUGAAUAAGGAUCGGCUAACUCCGUGCCAGCAGCCGCGGUAAUACGGAGGAUCCGAGCGUUAUCCGGAUUUAUUGGGUUUAAGGGGAGCGUAGGUGGAUUGUUAAGUCAGUUGUGAAAGUUUGCGGCUCAACCGUAAAAUUGCAGUUGAAACUGGCAGUCUUGAGUACAGUAGAGGUGGGCGGAAUUCGUGGUGUAGCGGUGAAAGGCUUAGAUAUCACGAAGAACUCCGAUUGCGAAGGCAGCUCACUGGACUGCAACUGACACUGAGGCUCGAAAGUGUGGGUAUCAAACAGGAUUAGAUACCCGAGUAGUC